Molecule: ribosomal RNA, 207 nt
Rfam family: Bacterial small subunit ribosomal RNA
CGAGUAGGCGGUUCUGCAAGUCAGAUGUGAAAGGCGGGGGCUCAACCCCCGAGCUGCAUUUGAAACUGUAGGACUUGAGUGAUGGAGAGGCAGGCGGAAUUCCCGGUGUAGCGGUGGAAUGCGUAGAGAUCGGGAGGAACACCAGUGGCGAAGGCGGCCUGCUGGACAUUAACUGACGCUGAGGAGCGAAAGCGUGGGGAGCAAACA